Molecule: long non-coding RNA, 420 nt
Filed under: Mytilus galloprovincialis (Mediterranean mussel)
Lineage: Eukaryota; Metazoa; Mollusca; Bivalvia; Mytilida; Mytilidae
Source: RNAcentral
AUGUAUUUUUAAAGCAGACGAAGAAAUAUACAUGUAUGAAGAAAUGUACAUGCAGACAGACCUACGAUGAUUUGAAGUAGACUUAUGUAUAAAAGGACAGUUUUUAUUUGUUAAAAACAUGAUUUGAUUACUUUUAUUAACUUCCAAUAAAUUAUUUAACGGCGAAAUUCACGGUAAAAUAUUAAAACGAGAAAUCAUCUUUUAUUGUUGACAUUUCAGCGCAGUCAUCCGAUAACAUUUUUUUUUAUAGUUCCGGCUAAUCUUUUCUGAUUGGCCGACACUCUAGCGCAUGAAUUAGAUUAAUACGCUGUUGCUAAGGACCUUAGAAACUAGCGAUAAUUUUCAUUCUCACUCUACACGAGUGAUAUGAAAAUUAUCACAAAAAAACAUCAAAGGAAAAAUACAGAUAAUAGCGAUAAU